Molecule: ribosomal RNA, 826 nt
Filed under: Marasmius roseus
Lineage: Eukaryota; Fungi; Basidiomycota; Agaricomycetes; Agaricales; Marasmiaceae
Description: Marasmius sp. JJSO-2022d partial large subunit ribosomal RNA
Rfam family: Eukaryotic large subunit ribosomal RNA
Source: RNAcentral
CCUAGUAACUGCGAGUGAAGAGGGAAAAGCUCAAAUUUAAAAUCUGGCAGCUUCGCUGUCCGAGUUGUAAUUUAGAGAAGUGUUACCCGUGUUGGACCGUGUAUAAGUCUCCUGGAAUGGAGCGUCAUAGAGGGUGAGAAUCCCGUCUUUGACACGGACUACCAAUGCAUUGUGGUGCGCUCUCGAAGAGUCGAGUUGUUUGGGAAUGCAGCUCUAAAUGGGUGGUAAAUUCCAUCUAAAGCUAAAUAUUGGCGAGAGACCGAUAGCGAACAAGUACCGUGAGGGAAAGAUGAAAAGAACUUUGGAAAGAGAGUUAAACAGUACGUGAAAUUGCUGAAAGGGAAACGCUUGAAGUCAGUCGCGUUGGCCGGGGAUCAGCCUUGCUUUUGUGAGGUGUACUUCCUGGUUGACGGGUCAGCAUCAGUUUCGACCACUGGAAAAAGAUUUGGGGAAUGUGGCAACCUCGGUUGUGUUAUAGCCCUUUAUCGUAUACAGUGGUUGGGACUGAGGAACUCAGCACGCCGCAAGGCCGGGUUUCGACCACGUUCGUGCUUAGGAUGCUGGCAAAAUGGCUUUAAGCGACCCGUCUUGAAACACGGACCAAGGAGUCUAACAUGCUUGCGAGUGUUUGGGUGGAAAACCCGAGCGCGUAAUGAAAGUGAAAGUUGGGAUCUCUGUCGUGGAGAGCACCGACGCCCGGACCAGAAGUUUACUGACGGAUCUGCGGUAGAGCACGUAUGUUGGGACCCGAAAGAUGGUGAACUAUGCCUGAAUAGGGUGAAGCCAGAGGAAACUCUGGUGGAGGCUCGUAGCGAUUCUGACGUGC